RNAcentral lists this transfer RNA (65 nucleotides) under Ranina ranina. RNAcentral's name for it is "tRNA-Phe". The record is from RNAcentral. Lineage: Eukaryota; Metazoa; Arthropoda; Malacostraca; Decapoda; Raninidae.
CUAUAUAAUUUAAAUAGAAUAUUGCACUGAAGAUGCAGGGGAGGUGAUUAUCAUCUAUAGAUAAA